RNAcentral lists this long non-coding RNA (1666 nucleotides) under Heterocephalus glaber (naked mole-rat). RNAcentral describes it as "lncRNA (ENSHGLG00000042845.1)". The record is from RNAcentral. Lineage: Eukaryota; Metazoa; Chordata; Mammalia; Rodentia; Bathyergidae.
GUGGUGGGAUCCUGGAGACUGACUUUCUACUCCGGAACACCAGGAGGGCGGCAAGUCCUCUUCAGACCUGGUCCUCAGCGGGGACUGUGCUCACAGUGACAGCCAGGCUGAGGCACAGAGCCCAGGGGCAGCCCCUCUUCUGUCUGCACCCCCUCACGCUCCUGGGCUGGUGCACCCUGGCCUCACACUUGGAGCCUAUCGCCCCCUGGUGGGCACAAGGUGCUGAGGGGCAGGACUGCCUACCCCAGGGAGCAUGGACCAGGGGCAGGCAGAGGGUGCUGUGAGGGGCCCAGGCCAGGGCAGCAGGCUGUGGAGCUGCACGGAAGGCUGUCUUCAGGGAGGCUGUGGUCCAGAGCUCGGGAAGGCAGCAGGGCUGAGGGACCGUGUCCCUAGUGGUGGUGCUGGAGGAGCCAUGGUGGACGACCCCUCUUCCCCAGGCCUCCCCAUUGCUCCAGAGAGGGAGGGAGGGACCAUCUGCUCCCCCAGUGACUGCACUGGGGAAGCAGAGCCUCCCUGUUCGCUCCUGAGCUUGGGGGCCAACACUGCCCCAGCAUCGCUCAAUCACUUUGACAAACCCGCUGCAGGCUUCCCAGAGCCAGGUGUGGAGGCUUCACCCUGGCUGGGAUCCAACCUUCUGCUCAGGGUCUGCACUGGGAUGAGCCAGUCCCCUUCCUGGGCUCUGUAGCCACAGAGCUGCCCCUUCCUGGCCUCUGUAGCCACAGAGCUGGUGACCGUGGCCUGGAGGGUGAGUUAGGGUUGCUAUCAGCUCUCAAGCACAGGCCUGCUCUCUCAGGAGCUGGGCCUCGCACUCUCUGGAGCCCUGGAUGGGGGCUGACCAGGAAGGGGACGGGGCUGACAAACCAGAAGCAGGGACUGGCGUGCCCUGGGCAGAAGACUGUGCGCACAGCAUGCUCCUGCAGUCAGACACAUGCGCAUGGCACAAGCACAGCUGCACACCCUUCCCACGGGCACCCUGUUCCCAUACCUUCAAGCCUAGGAUGUCAUAAUGGAACCAUCAGGAAGAAAUGUGAGUGUUUAAAGGUCCAUGAAACCUGAGUCCUCACGGUCUAAUCACCUUAGAUGAUGCCCAUCUCCCAGCACUGCUGCACUGGGUCCCAAGUCUCCAACCCAUGUUUUGGGGAGGCACAGUCAAUCCAUAGCAGGGGCCCCAUCGAGAACAAAAACAUCACAGCCCCAUGCAAGACUCUGGCUGAUUCUCAGCCCGUGCUCCCCAUACUGCACAGACAUGGAUCCUGACAGCAGCUUUUUAAUAAUCACCACGCUGGAAACACACCUGGUACUCUUCGAUGGGCAAGUAGAUGAAGAACCACCACCCAUCCCUGAGAUGGAAUACUACUCAGUAGCGGCAGGAAUGAGCUUCCAGUUUCUACCCCCAGAAAGAUCUCACAUGCUGCUUUCUUUGUGAAGAAGUUGGAUUCAUCAGGCUGCUAAGUGCACAAUUCCAUCCUUGUGCGCUCAGGAGCAGGCAAAGCUUCGGAGAAGGGGGAGAUCAGAACUCGCCCCGAAGAAGACCUGAGGGUAUUUUGGACGAUGGGACUGCUGUGUCCUGACUGGUGGUGGAUGCAUGACUCUGUGCAGCUGUCCCACUGUAUGUCCACGUUUUUGAAAAUGUAAAUAUAACAGACUAAUUACCAGCAAAAUGUAG